This 250-nucleotide ribosomal RNA is filed under the name uncultured bacterium. RNAcentral's name for it is "partial 16S ribosomal RNA". It matches the Rfam family "Bacterial small subunit ribosomal RNA", at positions 355 to 602 of the family's 1533-position model. The record is from RNAcentral.
UAAGGAAUAUUGGACAAUGGACGGAAGUCUGAUCCAGCCAUCCCGCGUGCAGGAUGACGGCCCUAUGGGUUGUAAACUGCUUUUGUACAGGAAGAAACGUGCGGAUUUAUCUGCACCUGACGGUACUGUAAGAAUAAGCACCGGCUAACUCCGUGCCAGCAGCCGCGGUAAUACGGAGGGUGCAAGCGUUAUCCGGAAUCACUGGGUUUAAAGGGUGCGUAGGCGGCUUAGUAAGUCAGAAGUGAAAGCC